UCUUGUGCUCACUGAAGACUUUGCGAUCUCUCUUCCGCUUCCUCGGCGAAGUAACGUUCCGGAGUUAUGUCAAUCACUAAAGAAAACCCAAUAAUUCCACUAUUUCCUCUUCACUGCAACUUUUGGAUUCUCUCAGUUUCAAACUCUAUAUAUCCUUUUGUUCUCUAUCUUUUCCUCUUUACCAAAAUUAUCAAAAUCAAAGUAUCUUGGCAAUCUUCUACACUCCAAGCUGUGAGAUUUCUUUACGAACAGUGGUCGCAAAGUUGAUUCUGUACAGUUAGUCAUUGAUCUGUCUAGCAACAAUGAUCUAUUUGGUUUCGUUUGUAUCUUCCAGAGAAAAAGCAGAGAAUUUUGUCGAGCUAUGAAACCGAAGCUAAACUCAUAGCGUGUAUUCUGAUUCUGUGGCCAUUGAUUUAUUGAGUUGAUAGGAUGGAAUUGAUUCUGAUUCCUUGAGUGAUGAGACACCCACGUCAAGUUUUUAAACUUGAGCACUGAAACUUCCCAUGAAGCAAAAUACACUGGUGCACAGGACAAUAAAUCUUCUUAUAAUGAGGGUGAGCCUCUGCAUAUACGUAACAUUGUUCAUGGCCUUCCCUCACCCACUUCCUCCUUUUUCAGUAUAUGUUAGUAAACAAUGCUCAUGGUCUGCAAUGAUUUGUUAUGGCUUUUAAGUCAAUGGUCAUAUUUGUCUUUAGUUCUCAUUGAUGUUCAGCAUCACUAUACUUACACAUCCACAAUACAGCUGUUUCUGCUAUUUAACAAUCUCGUCAUAUAAGUAGUUUGGGAAAGGCCACGACUCCUUUGUCAUCGAUAUGAUUGCUUGUGGCUCUCUUCAUUACUUUGUGUCGAGUUCUCAGAGCCUCAGGUUAAAUGCUACAUGACUCAGCUAUUAAAAGGCUCGAUCAUUGUCAUUUUACUACUCAUGUUGUAACUCUGUGGUAUCGACCUCCUAAGCUCUUAUUUGGAGCUUCUCAUUACAGAGUUGGGAUUGACUUCGAGAGCACAAGCAGCAUAAUAGGUGCAAUAUACGCACUUUCCAGUAUAAGUAUAAACAAGAUGUUGUACUAGGAAAUUAAGAAGCCUUUGGUCUCAUGCGUUUUCAUUCAAAAGAAGACCACAAUGAGCUACUCUAUUGUCUCGUGGGCGUGUACAGCAUGGUCAAACGGCUCAAAGUUCUCAUGUGUCGUUCGACGUCAGAAGCAGAGAGGUAUCAAGGGAGGAAGAGGAAGCGAGAGAACAAAGGGAAAUGGAGUAUAGACCUCCUAAGCAAGCAAUUUCAAGCAAGGUGUAUGAUUUGGACCUGAAUGGGUUCACGGAGUCACAACUACGGUACGAAAUCAUAACUGUUUGAGAUACUAGAUAUGUGGAUCCUACCUUCAUAUGAUUCGAAGUUUCUGUAGUUUAACUAUGGCUGCACAAGACCAAGAACCAUGUAGCUUCUGAGAAGAAACGGCUUGGGUUGCUUGAAGCUGAGAAGAAGAGGGCACGUGCUUUUGUCUAGCAAGUACGCCACGUUGCCAACUCUGUUUCUAAUCAGCGUGAGAUGGAUAGAAGUAAAAUGAGGGACAAACUUGAAGACAAAUUGCUGAGGGAAAAGAGAAAUAGAUCGGAGUUUCUUUGACAGAGAAGAAGAUAGCGUGAUUCGAUUAGUCUCUACUGCGAUAUGAUGCAGCAAGAUGGUGAUCUUCUCUCUAGAAAGCUGUCAAGGUGUUGGAAGUGCUUUGUGAUUUAAUAAAGUCAGCCUGCUACUCUUAAAGCUGUUAACUCUUUGCUUGACUGCCUUCAAGUUCGCUUAGAAGCUUCUAAAACGUUACUGCUUCUUCUCAACCGUCGAUAAUGGAUAACAUUGAUCAUCUUCUUAGAAGAGUAGCCACCCCCAGAAAAAUGAAGACACCAAGUACUCUAAAGAACAGGAAAGAAAAGAGAGUUACUCCUGGUAGGAGGGUGGCCGUGACAUCUGAGGUUUCCUGUCAGAGUGGUCCUUUCUGCUUUUAUGAUACUCGGUCAUCCAGACGCUGUGUUUAACAGUCAAGGUGAUCAAGAGGCUGCUCUUAAUGACUCAGCGAAGGGUUUUUUGAGGGAGUUUAAGUUAUUGAUAAAGGUUAUUAAAGAGGGUCAUGUUAAGAUGUCUGUUGAGGAAUCAAAGCUUCAGAUGUUGAGAUCUCAGUUGGACUUAUUUGAUAAGGUAUGGUGCGCAUUUUUGAAUUCGUUUGUGCUUUGGAAAUUUAAGGAUACUCGGUUGUUGGGAGAGGAUAAGGUAAGAGCAGCUUGUCAGCUUGAAAUUUCCAUGAUUCAGAAAUGCAAGAUUACUCCAGAAGGAGAUAGACACUGUGCUCACUCAUGACAAGAAAGCAAUUCAGACCCGAAAUACGAAAGGCAUUACUAAGCUUCCCAGAAGGAUACAUUAAUUUUUCAUUAUUGUAAUAGAUUAUUGCCACUGCUCUCCUACUCUGCUCCCUUCGCAAUAUAUCAUCAAUAAUCCAUAGCUGGCCAUAUUAACUUUAAGAUUCUGCAGCUUUUGGUGUGUACAUAGUCAUCACUUUCAUUUCAAGUUACUUUUACUCUCAGAUACAAAAAAAAAUUGUUCUGAGAUCAACAGUAGUAACCAAUAUUUUAAUAAUA
Brassica oleracea var. oleracea is the source of this 2622-nucleotide long non-coding RNA. RefSeq lists it as uncharacterized. NCBI's taxonomy places the organism in Eukaryota, Viridiplantae, Streptophyta, Magnoliopsida, Brassicales, Brassicaceae. The transcript is spliced from 9 exons. The record is from RefSeq and is a predicted model, not a curated record.